Non-coding RNA from Salarias fasciatus (jewelled blenny), 545 nucleotides. The record is from the annotation of a RefSeq genome assembly. Lineage: Eukaryota; Metazoa; Chordata; Actinopteri; Blenniiformes; Blenniidae.
GCUGCAGAGGCUCAAAUGAAGGAAAAGAUCUCAAAGGAAGGAAUCUGAAUUUAUCCAACAUGACAUUAAUUGUCAUUUUAUUUUGUUUUCUUUAUUCACCAGGAAUCAAGGGAGCCUCAGACACAAAAGAUGUCAACCAAACGCCUCGGUUCAUCACUAAAAGAGUCAGUGAAUCUGUACAGAGUGAGAUCAAAUGUUCACAUAAAAUACCAAGCUAUCAAAGAAUCCUCUGGUACAAACAAGGUCAAGACAAAGCCCUGCAGUUCCUGGGAUAUCUCAACACGAAGUUCGACAAUGUCGAGGAAGAGCUGAAGGGGAAGAUCAACUUCGAGGGAGAUGGCCGUAACAACGGAUCCCUCAGCAUCUCUGAUCUCAGACUGAAUGACAGUGCAGUGUAUUUCUGUGCAGCCAGUCUCCACAGUGCAGCACAUCUCAGUGGAGUCAAUACAAAAACCUUCUGAGCACCUGCAGAGAAGUCUUGGUAGAUGUUAUCCUCCUCUGACUGUUACUGGAGACCUCAUGACUCCACAGAGGAAAUUCCAUUA